This 557-nucleotide small RNA is filed under the name Pan troglodytes (chimpanzee). RNAcentral describes it as "retained intron". Lineage: Eukaryota; Metazoa; Chordata; Mammalia; Primates; Hominidae. The record is from RNAcentral.
AGGCUCCGCCCAUACCCCUCCGGGUUAGGCGGCUGUAGCGGAGCUCGAAAAGAGUGGCGCAGGGUCGCGCGGCCCCGCCUCCUUCCCCGCCCAGCGAAGCUCUCUGACCACCCCUCUUUUCUAGAGUUCUGCCUCGCUUCCCGGCGCGGUCGCAGCCCUCAGCCCACUCAGGAUAAUGGCGACAGCUGAGGUACUGAACAUUGGUAAAAAAUUGUAUGAGGGUAAAACAAAAGAAGUCUACGAAUUGUUAGAUAGUCCAGGAAAAGUCCUCCUGCAGUCCAAGGACCAGAUUACAGCAGGAAAUGCAGCUAGAAAAAACCACCUGGAAGGAAAAGCUGCAAUCUCAAAUAAAAUCACCAGUUGUAUUUUUCGGUUAUUACAGGAAGCAGGUAAGCAGCUCCCUCAAAGUCUCUUCUCUCACCUUCUCUGGUAAGCAUGUCGAUGUCUUUCAUGUGAAGUUGGCAUUAAUAUGAACAACUUGUUUGCAGAUGUCUCAAAAGCUAAGUGAAUUUAAAUCAAACCAAGAACCCUUAAACUUCACUAUAACACCUUAUUUG